Molecule: ribosomal RNA, 459 nt
Filed under: uncultured bacterium
Lineage: Bacteria
Description: partial 16S ribosomal RNA
Rfam family: Bacterial small subunit ribosomal RNA
Source: RNAcentral
CCUACGGGUGGCAGCAGUGAGGAAUAUUGGUCAAUGGCCGGAAGCCUGAACCAGCCAAGCCGCGUGAGGGAAGACGGCCCUAUGCAUUGUAAACCUCUUUUGUCGGGGAGCAAAAGGCGCCACUCGUCCCGUUCUGAGAGUACCCGAAGAAAAAGCAUCGGCUAACUCCGUGCCAGCAGCCGCGGUAAUACGGAGGAUGCGAGCGUUAUCCGGAUUUAUUGGGUUUAACGGGUGCGCAGGCGGACGAUUAAGCCAGCGGUAAAAUUGAGGGGCUCAACCCCGCCGAGCCGUUGAAACUGGGUGUCUUGAGUGAGUGGGAGGUAUGCGGAAUGCGCGGUGUAGCGGUGAAAUGCAUAGAUAUCGCGCAGAACUCCGAUUGCGAAGGCAGCAUGCCGGCGCUCAACUGACGCUGAGGCACGAAAGUGUGGGUAUCGAACAGGAUUAGAUACCCGGGUAGUC